RNAcentral lists this ribosomal RNA (254 nucleotides) under uncultured bacterium. RNAcentral describes it as "partial 16S ribosomal RNA". It matches the Rfam family "Bacterial small subunit ribosomal RNA", at positions 524 to 776 of the family's 1533-position model. The record is from RNAcentral.
UACGAGGGGGGCAAGCGUUGUUCGGAAUUACUGGGCGUAAAGGGUGUGUAGGCGGUUGUUUAAGUUUGGUGUGAAAUCUCCCGGCUCAACUGGGAGGGUGCGCCGAAUACUGAAUGACUUGGAGUGCGGGAGAGGAAAGUGGAAUUCCUGGUGUAGCGGUGAAAUGCGUAGAUAUCAGGAGGAACACCGGUGGUGUAGACGGCUUUCUGGACCGUAACUGACGCUGAGACACGAAAGCGUGGGUAGCAAACAGG